Molecule: ribosomal RNA, 112 nt
Filed under: Acanthosepion pharaonis
Lineage: Eukaryota; Metazoa; Mollusca; Cephalopoda; Sepiida; Sepiidae
Source: RNAcentral
UACGACCUUAUCACAUUCAAAUGCCAGUUCCUGUACGAUCACCAAAGUUAAGCAACGUUGAGCCUGGUCAGUACAUAGAUGGAUGACCGCUUGGGAAUACCAGGUGCUGUAA